RNAcentral lists this ribosomal RNA (253 nucleotides) under uncultured bacterium. RNAcentral's name for it is "partial 16S ribosomal RNA". It matches the Rfam family "Bacterial small subunit ribosomal RNA", at positions 524 to 776 of the family's 1533-position model. The record is from RNAcentral.
UACGGAGGGGGCUAGCGUUGUUCGGAAUUACUGGGCGUAAAGAGUGUGUAGGCGGUGCUCUAAGUUCGGUGUGAAAUCUCCUGGCUUAACUGGGAGGGUGCGCCGGAAACUGGGGUGCUCGAGCGUGGGAGAGGAAAGCGGAAUUCCUGGUGUAGCGGUGAAAUGCGUAGAUAUCAGGAGGAACACCUGUGGUGUAGACAGCUUUCUGGACCAUUGCUGACGCUGAGACACGAAAGCGUGGGUAGCAAACAGG